GACGAACCGUGCGAGCGUUAUUCGGAAUCACUGGGCUUAAAGGGUGCGUAGGUGGCGAUGUAAGUCAGAGGUGAAAUCCCAUCGGCUCAACCGCGGAACUGCCUUUGAUACUGCAUUGCUUGAGGAAGAUAGGGGCGCGUGGAACUACCGGUGGAGCGGUGAAAUGUGUUGAUAUCGGUAGGAACGCCGGCGGCGAAAGCGACGCGCUGGAUCUUUUCUGACACUGAGGCACGAAAGCUAGGGUAGCGAACGGG
RNAcentral lists this ribosomal RNA (254 nucleotides) under uncultured bacterium. RNAcentral's name for it is "partial 16S ribosomal RNA". It matches the Rfam family "Bacterial small subunit ribosomal RNA", at positions 524 to 776 of the family's 1533-position model. The record is from RNAcentral.